This 76-nucleotide transfer RNA is filed under the name Alphaproteobacteria bacterium. RNAcentral describes it as "tRNA-Ala". It matches the Rfam family "tRNA". Rfam says of the family: Transfer RNA (tRNA) molecules are approximately 80 nucleotides in length. Their secondary structure includes four short double-helical elements and three loops (D, anti-codon, and T loops). Further hydrogen bonds mediate the characteristic L-shaped molecular structure. tRNAs have two regions of fundamental functional importance: the anti-codon, which is responsible for specific mRNA codon recognition, and the 3' end, to which the tRNAs corresponding amino acid is attached (by aminoacyl-tRNA synthetases). tRNAs cope with the degeneracy of the genetic code in two manners: having more than one tRNA (with a specific anti-codon) for a particular amino acid; and 'wobble' base-pairing, i.e. permitting non-standard base-pairing at the 3rd anti-codon position. The record is from RNAcentral. Lineage: Bacteria; Pseudomonadati; Pseudomonadota; Alphaproteobacteria. RNAcentral also lists the same sequence under 3 other names.
GGGGCUGUAGCUCAGUUGGGAGAGCGGGUGCUUUGCAAGCAUCAGGUCGUCGGUUCGAUCCCGUCCAGCUCCACCA